This 603-nucleotide ribosomal RNA is filed under the name uncultured Tomentella. Its description in RNAcentral is "eukaryotic LSU rRNA". The stretch from base 174 to 328 matches the Rfam family "5.8S ribosomal RNA". Lineage: Eukaryota; Fungi; Basidiomycota; Agaricomycetes; Thelephorales; Thelephoraceae. The record is from RNAcentral.
CUGGUCUCAACGGGGGCAUGUGCACGCUCUGUUAACACAUCCACUCACACCCUGUGCACCCUCUGUAGUUCUGUGGUUGGGGGCCUUGUCCUCCUGCUGUGGUUCUGCAUCUUUUACACACACACUGUAACAAAGUCUCAUGGAAUGCAUCUGCGUUUAACGCAAUACAAUACAACUUUCAGCAACGGAUCUCUUGGCUCUCGCAUCGAUGAAGAACGCAGCGAAAUGCGAUAAGUAAUGUGAAUUGCAUAAUUCAGUGAAUCAUCGAAUCUUUGAACGCACCUUGCGCCCUUUGGCCAUUCCGAAGGGCAUGCCUGUUUGAGUAUCAUGAACACCUCAACUCUUCAUGGUUUUCCGUGAUGAGCUUGGACUUUGGGGGUUUUGCUGGCCUGUGGUCGGCUCCUCUAAAAUGAAUCANCUUGCCAGUGUUUGGUGGGCAUCACAGGUGUGAUAACUAUCUACGCUUGUGGUUUUCCACCAGGGUAACCUUCGGCAGUGGAGGUUCGCUGGAACUCAUAGAUGUCUCUCCUCAGUGAGGACGGCCCUUUGAAUGUUUGAUCUCAAAUCAGGUAGGACUACCCGCUGAACUUAAGCAUAUCAUAA